This 1498-nucleotide ribosomal RNA is filed under the name metagenome. Its description in RNAcentral is "bacterial SSU rRNA". It matches the Rfam family "Bacterial small subunit ribosomal RNA". The record is from RNAcentral.
AUCCUGGCUCAGGACGAACGCUGGCGGCGUGCCUAAUACAUGCAAGUAGAACGCUGAAGAGAGGAGCUUGCUCUUCUUGGAUGAGUUGCGAACGGGUGAGUAACGCGUAGGUAACCUGCCUUGUAGCGGGGGAUAACUAUUGGAAACGAUAGCUAAUACCGCAUAACAAUGGAUGACCCAUGUCAUUUAUUUGAAAGGGGCAAAUGCUCCACUACAAGAUGGACCUGCGUUGUAUUAGCUAGUAGGUGAGGUAACGGCUCACCUAGGCGACGAUACAUAGCCGACCUGAGAGGGUGAUCGGCCACACUGGGACUGAGACACGGCCCAGACUCCUACGGGAGGCAGCAGUAGGGAAUCUUCGGCAAUGGGGGCAACCCUGACCGAGCAACGCCGCGUGAGUGAAGAAGGUUUUCGGAUCGUAAAGCUCUGUUGUAAGUCAAGAACGAGUGUGAGAGUGGAAAGUUCACACUGUGACGGUAGCUUACCAGAAAGGGACGGCUAACUACGUGCCAGCAGCCGCGGUAAUACGUAGGUCCCGAGCGUUGUCCGGAUUUAUUGGGCGUAAAGCGAGCGCAGGCGGUUUGAUAAGUCUGAAGUUAAAGGCUGUGGCUCAACCAUAGUUCGCUUUGGAAACUGUCAAACUUGAGUGCAGAAGGGGAGAGUGGAAUUCCAUGUGUAGCGGUGAAAUGCGUAGAUAUAUGGAGGAACACCGGUGGCGAAAGCGGCUCUCUGGUCUGUAACUGACGCUGAGGCUCGAAAGCGUGGGGAGCGAACAGGAUUAGAUACCCUGGUAGUCCACGCCGUAAACGAUGAGUGCUAGGUGUUGGAUCCUUUCCGGGAUUCAGUGCCGCAGCUAACGCAUUAAGCACUCCGCCUGGGGAGUACGACCGCAAGGUUGAAACUUAAAGGAAUUGACGGGGGCCCGCACAAGCGGUGGAGCAUGUGGUUUAAUUCGAAGCAACGCGAAGAACCUUACCAGGUCUUGACAUCCCGAUGCUAUUUCUAGAGAUAGAAAGUUACUUCGGUACAUCGGUGACAGGUGGUGCAUGGUUGUCGUCAGCUCGUGUCGUGAGAUGUUGGGUUAAGUCCCGCAACGAGCGCAACCCCUAUUGUUAGUUGCCAUCAUUCAGUUGGGCACUCUAGCGAGACUGCCGGUAAUAAACCGGAGGAAGGUGGGGAUGACGUCAAAUCAUCAUGCCCCUUAUGACCUGGGCUACACACGUGCUACAAUGGUUGGUACAACGAGUUGCGAGUCGGUGACGGCAAGCUAAUCUCUUAAAGCCAAUCUCAGUUCGGAUUGUAGGCUGCAACUCGCCUACAUGAAGUCGGAAUCGCUAGUAAUCGCGGAUCAGCACGCCGCGGUGAAUACGUUCCCGGGCCUUGUACACACCGCCCGUCACACCACGAGAGUUUGUAACACCCGAAGUCGGUGAGGUAACCUUUUGGAGCCAGCCGCCUAAGGUGGGAUAGAUGAUUGGGGUGAAGUCGUAACAAGGUA